Molecule: ribosomal RNA, 233 nt
Filed under: uncultured bacterium
Lineage: Bacteria
Description: partial 16S ribosomal RNA
Rfam family: Bacterial small subunit ribosomal RNA
Source: RNAcentral
CGGGACGGGUGAGUAAUGUCCGGGAAACUGCCUGAUGGAGGGGGAUAACUACUGGAGACGGUAGCUAAUACCGCAUAACGUCGCAAGACCAAAGAGGGGGACCUUAGGGCCUCUUGCCAUCGGAUGUGCCCAGAUGGGAUUAGCUAGUAGGUGGGGUAAAGGCUCACCUAGGCGACGAUCCCUAGCUGGUCUGAGAGGAUGACCAGCCACACUGGAACUGAGACACGGUCCAG